Molecule: ribosomal RNA, 848 nt
Filed under: Macrolepiota turbinata
Lineage: Eukaryota; Fungi; Basidiomycota; Agaricomycetes; Agaricales; Agaricaceae
Description: eukaryotic LSU rRNA
Rfam family: Eukaryotic large subunit ribosomal RNA
Source: RNAcentral
GUCUCUGGCCGUCCGAGUUGUAAUCUAGAGAAGUGCUACCCGCGCUGGACCGUGUACAAGUCUCCUGGAAUGGAGCGUCAUAGAGGGUGAGAAUCCCGUCUCUGACACGGACUACCAGGGCUUUGUGGUACGCUCUCAAAGAGUCGAGUUGUUUGGGAAUGCAGCUCAAAAUGGGUGGUAAAUUCCAUCUAAAGCUAAAUAUUGGCGAGAGACCGAUAGCGAACAAGUACCGUGAGGGAAAGAUGAAAAGAACUUUGGAAAGAGAGUUAAACAGUACGUGAAAUUGCUGAAAGGGAAACGCUUGAAGUCAGUCGCGUUGGCCGGGGAUCAGCCUCGCUUUUGCGUGGUGUACUUUCUGGUUGACGGGUCAGCAUCAAUUUUGACCGCUGGAAAAAGGCUUGGGGAAUGUGGCAGCUUCGGCUGUGUUAUAGCCCUUUGUCACAUACAGCGGUUGGGAUUGAGGAACUCAGCACGCCGCAAGGCCGGGUUUCGACCACGUUCGUGCUUAGGAUGCUGGCAUAAUGGCUUUAAGCGACCCGUCUUGAAACACGGACCAAGGAGUCUAACAUGCCUGCGAGUGUUUGGGUGGAAAACCCGAGCGCGUAAUGAAAGUGAAAGUUGAGAUCCCUGUCGUGGGGAGCAUCGACGCCCGGACCAGAACUUUUGGGACGGAUCCGCGGUAGAGCAUGUAUGUUGGGACCCGAAAGAUGGUGAACUAUGCCUGAAUAGGGUGAAGCCAGAGGAAACUCUGGUGGAGGCUCGUAGCGAUUCUGACGUGCAAUCGAUCGUCAAAUUUGGAUAUAGGGCGAAAGACUAAUCGAACCAUCUAGUAGCUGGUUCCUGCCGAA